RNA transcript from Cydia pomonella (codling moth), 3628 nucleotides. It is a transcript of the gene named heterogeneous nuclear ribonucleoprotein L, with no coding region annotated. The record is from RefSeq and is a predicted model, not a curated record. The transcript has 17 exons. Lineage: Eukaryota; Metazoa; Arthropoda; Insecta; Lepidoptera; Tortricidae.
UCGGUCAGAAUUUCCAUUCGUUCAAUCAGUCUGCCCGCGACCGCCGUUCGAAGCAGUGGUUUACUCGUUUCCGUUGUACGAAAACGCGUUUCGGUGUGAUUUGUGUUUUGUUUUGUGGUGCACGAUGGCUUACAACGGUAGUGGUGGCAAGAGACUGUGUACAGGAACCGACCUCGACGUGGAAAGGAGUAAUGGCAACAAUUAUAUGGCGGGCGAGCCCCGCCGCAAACGGGAGCCGCCGGCGCGGCCGAACCACAUUCUCCUGUACACCAUCAUCAACCCCGCCUAUCCUAUCACUGUGGACGUGAUACACACAAUAAGCACACCACACGGGCAGGUGCAGAGGAUCGUCGUGUUCAAGAAAAAUGGCGUCCAGGCCAUGGUUGAGUUUGAAAGCGUGGAGUCGGCGACGCGAGCGAAAGAGGCGCUACACGGCUGCGACAUAUACUCCGGGUGCUGCACUCUCAAAAUUGAAUAUGCCAAGCCCGAAAGAUUGAACGUGUUCAAAAACGACCAAGACAGUUGGGACUACACAUUAUCCGAAGACGUCCAGCCAGUGCAACGGAGCGCCCCGCUUCUCCAGUCUCCACAGUACACCGGCGGAAGACCACAGCCUUACAAUGCUUCGCUGAACCAGCCGAACGCCAGACCGGCGAGCGCGGACGCGUGCAGCCAACACAGCCAGAACUCUUGCGAUCAUGCACAAAAUGAUAUGGAGUUCGGAAGCGGCGGUCCUCCACCCCCUGGAAUGAAAAUGGAGCGCCAUGGUCCACCGCCGCCUCAUCAUCCGCGUGAUGGUCGCGGUUACGGUCCUGAGGGAUAUGGUGGUGAAGGUUUUGUGCCGCCGCCGCCCAUGCACCAUCCCGCUAUGCCGCCACAAAACCAGGGCGGACCCCCACAGCAGGGAGCUGUGAUGAUGGUGUAUGGCCUGGACCCUCAGACUGCCAACGCGGAUCGUCUCUUUAAUCUCUGCUGCCUCUACGGGAACGUCGUCAGAAUAAAGUUCCUGAAGACAAAAGAAGGCACGGCCAUGGUUCAGAUGGGCGACGGCGUGUCAGUUGAGCGAUGCGUGCAGAAUCUCAAUAAUGUCACAGUUGGCGACUACACAUUGACACUGGCAUUCUCCAAACAAGCAUACCUGUCCGAAGUAAUGAACCCGUACCCCCUGCCCGACAAGUCGCCCUCGUUCAAGGACUACGUCGGCAAUAAGAACAAUCGCUUCCUAACUCCUGCCUCCAUUCAUAAGAACAGGAUACAACCGCCUUCCAAGGUGCUGCACUUCUUCAACACGCCUCCAGACGUGUCGGACGACCAGCUGUUGCAGGUCUUCAAGGACUACGGGGUCAUGCCCCCGCACACUAUUUCAAAGUUCCCGCUAAAGAGCGAGAGGUCAUCGUCGGGAUUGAUGGAGUUCCAGAACAUCUCACAGUCGGUGAUGGCUAUCAUGGCGUGCAACCACGCGACCAUCCAGCAUCCAGGUGCAAAAUUCCCGUUCGUGAUGAAACUGUGUUUCUCAUCGUCACGGCAAAUCGGGCAGGGCAAGGGCCAGCAAAAGAAAGACGGCCAGGGCCAGGAGUCGAACCCGCGGCAGAACAACGGCAUGCCAGAACACGACUACUAUUUCUAUCCCAAGAUUAAGUCAGAGCUUUAUGAUCCAUAGAAUAGUUGCUGCUUAGGAAAAUUCUUCAGAACAGAACCCUAGAACUGAACUAGUUAACGGCGAUGUCGGCGAACACACACAAACACAUAUCAAGACGGACACACACACAGCCACACGAGAGCGGACGGAGUUGCCGUUUCACAUGAAAACACCCACAACACACACCAGUUACCAAAAGGGUGAUUCCACAAAAACAAUGGCAACAUUAUAAUAUACAUAUAUAUAUAAUUCCUUUAAUUUUUAUGUGAUUUAGAUCACUCCCAAUAAAGACAUUAACAGAUAGUUUAUUAAUAUAAUUUUAGACACAUACAAUUUCAUGUUAACACAUUACAAUUCCAUUUUUUAUUUUAAAUUUUGUUUUGUUUUUUCCAUAUGGACGAUGCCUGUUGAAUGCGUUGUGCAUUUGCUUGAAUUUUUGCACUAGUGUAUAGAUUUCUUAGGUAUUGGUUAAGUAAUAUUCCCAAUUUUAUUGGAGUAAUGUUAGAACUAGUUUUUUAAUAUUCUUUUCGGUGCCAUUUUCAAACACUCGUUGGUGUACAUUUUUUUAGUCACAAGUGAAUGACUUUAAAAGUAAAAAAACUUGUUUAACUUAUAAUUUUGUUUUGUUUUGAGUUUUGAGGAUGGUACUGUUUUUCCCGUUUUUUAGUGAUGAAUAGUAUAUUGAUAUUAGAUUGUGAGUUUGUUUAAGGUAAUUCGAAAAAAUAAUUAUUUUCCCUUUGUUGUUCUCAGAUGUAUCCCUUUAGCGUACAAAUCGAUGGAUAUUGUGAGAAAAAAUAUUUUUCCAGUCCAUGAGUACAUGUAUUAAUGUUAUAGUGACUAUUUCCCCCAGAACUUUGGUUGUUUGUAACAUGACAGUUGUGAAAAUGUACAAGAAAUUUAAAAAAAAUUAUGCUAUAAGGUAGAAAUUUGUGUUUUAUUUAGUUUCUAUUCGAAGUAGAACUGUGCAUGUUUCUUCAUUUAUUUUUGCAUGAGUAUCGUGAUGUCCAUACAAAAUAGAGUGGCACUAAAUUUGUUUGUAAAAACACCUGAGUUGACACGUUUAUUCUAAAAUUAAAGAACCAAAAAAUAUCUAAUUGUAAGAAAUAGUUUAGCACUCUUUAGGCUAGUAGUAAGUGUCAUUGCAAUGUCAAUUAUAUUCGAUUAGUGGAAAAAUAUGACAGUACGGAUUUUCUAUAAAUUUUUCUUAAUAAUGAAAAUAAUAAAAAAUAGUGUCGAUUCGAUUACAGUUUGGAAGCCUGCACAAGAAUGUGUAGAAUAGUUCUCGGUUCGAGACACCCGCUGUUCUGUUGUGUUCUUACUUAAGAGUUAGUAGAACGCGGUCGGCAACGCUGAAAAGUCACUAACAUAAAAGACAUUAUUUUUCCCUCUUGUGACCAAAAACAACGUUGCCGCCCGCGCCCAUAGUUCUCUAAAUAGCUGAAUAAUAUAAUGACAUUUAAAAAAUCAGUGUUAUCAGGUAAAUAGAUGCAUAUCUUUUUCUCUAGAAAUAUUUUCGAAUGAAAAACUAAAUGUUCUAGCAUAGGCCCUGAAUGUCGUGGUAGCUAUUGUGUUUAAUGUACAGACGAUGUUUGUUGUCGAUGGUUUGAUGUUCUUGCAGAUAAUGUACUGUGCGGUAUUUUAAAUACACAACAAAUGUCAGAUAUACCUACAUAGUAUUUAGACAAUGAUGUUAGAAAUUAAAAUGCAAUAAAAAUCUGUCCAAACGAAUUUUGGUUGUUGACACUUUUUUUUAAUACUCACCGAGAUAAUGUCAUUGUCUAAAAAAAUUAAAUGUACCACAUAAUUACAUAAAGCCAAAUGAUCGACUCUCCAAAAAUAACACAAGAAACAGCACUCUUGCAUACAUUUUAAGGUAUAUAAAUGUAAACAUUUUAAUUUAGUUUCUUUCAAAUAUUUUUAGACUUGGCAUUGGAUAGUACUUGUAGCUACAUGGUAACUUUAAAUACAUAUUAUGUCAACACAACAAAA